AUUGAACGCUGGCGGCAGGCCUAACACAUGCAAGUCGAGCGAGCGGCGGACGGGUGAGUAAUGUCUGGGAAACUGCCUGAUGGAGGGGGAUAACUACUGGAAACGGUAGCUAAUACCGCAUACCAUCAGAUUUGCCCAGAUGGGAUUAGCUAGUCGGUGGGGUAAUGGCUCACCUAGUCGACGAUCCCUAGCUGGUCUGAGAGGUUGACCAGCAAAAUUGGAACUGAGACACGGUCCAGCCUCCUACGGGAGGCAGCAGUGGGGAAUAUGGCACAAUGGGCGCAAGCCUGAUGCAGCCAUGCCGCGUGUGUGAAGAAGGCCUUCGGGUGGUAAAGCACUUUCAGCGGGGAGGCGUUACCCGCAGAAGAAGCACCGGCUAACUCCGUGCCAGCAGCCGCGGUAAUUC
RNAcentral lists this ribosomal RNA (406 nucleotides) under uncultured bacterium. Its description in RNAcentral is "partial 16S ribosomal RNA". It matches the Rfam family "Bacterial small subunit ribosomal RNA", at positions 30 to 526 of the family's 1533-position model. The record is from RNAcentral.